This 339-nucleotide long non-coding RNA is filed under the name Elaeis guineensis (African oil palm). Its description in RNAcentral is "long non-coding RNA (EGUI_LNC076988)". Lineage: Eukaryota; Viridiplantae; Streptophyta; Magnoliopsida; Arecales; Arecaceae. The record is from RNAcentral.
UCUCAAGGAUGUUUGUGUAUUGGGCUCCGGGUUUGAUUUUAUCAAAUUUGAUUCAGAUUCAAUUAUUAGUGUCGAUUUUUUUACCUGUCGAACUUCGUCAAGCUCAAUUUUUGAGGUACUUAUUUCUUCACUAAAGAAUUUUUUUUCAAAUAAUGUGCCUUAUUGCUGACAAACUACCUUUUGUUCAACAAACUGAUAAAAGUAAUAUCUCUUCGUUUCCUUGGGGUACCCUAUGAAAUUAUAUUUAUCGGAUCUAGGACUGAGCUUGUCAGUUUAUAAUCCUUUAAUGUAAGUCGGAUAUCCCUAAAUCCUAAAGUAAGAGAGGUUCGGCCUACGCUC